Molecule: ribosomal RNA, 448 nt
Filed under: uncultured bacterium
Lineage: Bacteria
Description: bacterial SSU rRNA
Rfam family: Bacterial small subunit ribosomal RNA
Source: RNAcentral
CGCCCAGACUCCUACGGGAGGCAGCAGUGGGGAAUAUUGCACAAUGGGGGGAACCCUGAUGCAGCAACGCCGCGUGGGUGAAGAAGUAUUUCGGUAUGUAAAGCCCUAUCAGCAGGGAAGAAGAUGACGGUACCUGACUAAGAAGCCCCGGCUAAAUACGUGCCAGCAGCCGCGGUAAUACGUAUGGGGCAAGCGUUAUCCGGAUUUACUGGGUGUAAAGGGAGCGCAGGCGGCGCGGCAAGUCAGAUGUGAAAGCCCGGGGCUCAACCCCGGGACUGCAUUUGAAACUGCCGUGCUGGAGUGUCGGAGAGGCAAGUGGAAUUCCUAGUGUAGCGGUGAAAUGCGUAGAUAUUAGGAGGAACACCAGCGGCGAAGGCGGCCUGCUGGACCGUAACUGACGUUGAGGCUCGAAAGCGUGGGGAGCAAACAGGAUUAGAUACCCCAGUAC